This 320-nucleotide ribosomal RNA is filed under the name uncultured Prevotella sp. RNAcentral's name for it is "partial 16S ribosomal RNA". The record is from RNAcentral. Lineage: Bacteria; Pseudomonadati; Bacteroidota; Bacteroidia; Bacteroidales; Prevotellaceae.
GGAGUUUGGACCGUGUCUCAGUUCCAAUGUGGGGGACCUUCCUCUCAGAACCCCUACUGAUCGUCGGCUAGGUGGGCCGUUACCCCGCCUACUACCUAAUCAGACGCAUCCCCAUCCAUCACCAAUGAAUCUUUACUCCUCGUUAGAUGUCUGCAAAGGAGACCAUCAGGUAUUAAUUCGCCUUUCGGCGGGCUAUCCCUGAGUGAUGGGAAGGUUGGAUACGCGUUACUCACCCGUGCGCCGGUCGCCAUCUAUCAAAGCAAGCUUCGAUAAUGCUGCCCCUCGACUUGCAUGUGUUAAGCCUGUAGCUAGCGUUCAUC